UACGUAGGGUCCGAGCGUUGUCCGGAAUUACUGGGCGUAAAGAGCUCGUAGGUGGUUUGUCGCGUUGUUCGUGAAAACUCACAGCUUAACUGGGGGCGUGCGGGCGAUACGGGCAGACUGGAGUACUGCAGGGGAGACUGGAAUUCCUGGUGUAGCGGUGGAAUGCGCAGAUAUCAGGAGGAACACCGGUGGCGAAGGCGGGUCUCUGGGCAGUAAACUGACGC
Molecule: ribosomal RNA, 224 nt
Filed under: uncultured bacterium
Lineage: Bacteria
Description: partial 16S ribosomal RNA
Rfam family: Bacterial small subunit ribosomal RNA
Source: RNAcentral